CAGCCGUAAACUAUGCUCGCUAGGUGUCAGGCAUGGCGCGACCGUGUCUGGUGCCGCAGGGAAGCCGAGAAGCGAGCCACCUGGGAAGUACGGCCGCAAGGCUGAAACUUAAGGAUUGGCGGGGGAGCACAACAACGGGUGGAGCCUGCGGUUUAAUUGGACUCAACGCCGGACAACUCACCGGGAACGACAGCAAUAUGUAGGCCAGGCUGAAGACCUUGCCUGAAUCGCUGAGAGGUGGUGCAUGGCGUAGACGUCU
RNAcentral lists this ribosomal RNA (259 nucleotides) under uncultured archaeon. RNAcentral's name for it is "partial 16S ribosomal RNA". It matches the Rfam family "Archaeal small subunit ribosomal RNA", at positions 748 to 1009 of the family's 1478-position model. The record is from RNAcentral.